AAUGGGGCCAUAAUCCCUCUCGAUCAGCGACGAAGAUUCAUGGGAACAACCGCCGUCGGACUUCGACGCGCCGGUCGAGCUAGAGAACCGCUGGACGAGGGUGAAGACCCGCACCAAAGAGUUCCUGGAAACUGUCACUUUGGAUGGCAUCGCACAGACAUGCGGUGCCCGUCAUUGGUUGCGUCGGCUGGUGUGGUUGUCGUUCUUUAUUCUAUGCUCGGUGUACGGCCUCAUGCAGUGCUACGACGUCUACAAUGAGUACAUCAAGUACCCCAAAGCUGUGGCGGUUCAGCUACAAACGGAGCGCCCGGCCCAGUUUCCAGCGGUGACUUUAUGCAGCCUGAACCCCAUCAACAACGAAGAUGCGCUCAGGAACGACUAAGUC
This is a long non-coding RNA of Hyalella azteca, 385 nucleotides long. RefSeq lists it as uncharacterized. Lineage: Eukaryota; Metazoa; Arthropoda; Malacostraca; Amphipoda; Hyalellidae. The transcript has 3 exons. The record is from RefSeq and is a predicted model, not a curated record.